This is a long non-coding RNA of Oncorhynchus masou masou (cherry salmon), 1384 nucleotides long. RefSeq lists it as uncharacterized. Lineage: Eukaryota; Metazoa; Chordata; Actinopteri; Salmoniformes; Salmonidae. The record is from RefSeq and is a predicted model, not a curated record. The transcript is spliced from 4 exons.
UGUACACUGUAUGCUAACUGUAACACAAAUGUAUUAAUCAUUAUUUUUCUUUCCUCCCCCAGCUCCAAGAAGAUGACACAGCUCAAAAUAAAAAUUAGGUAUAUUCUCGUAAAGUCAAGUGAGCCAUGACAUAUGAGCUCUUAUUGUGAGCACACAGGACGGUGGCAUCUUUCUAAGGUUUUUUUAUUUUCCCAGCAAUCAGUACAACCAAGUCAUCGUUAUAAGGCAUCGCCCUCUUUUGCCCACCCCCCCAGCACCAGGUGUGGCCAUUAGCCUAUAUGAAGGCCCAAAAUUGUGUGUUCCUUUCUGCUCUGACAAUGGCAUGCCCAUUCGUGCGAGAUGUGGUGGAUGAAGAAGCAUUUGUGCUGAGGAGAGCCUUCAGGCGAGAAAGGGUCUUCAGGGACCGGUUGGACCCACUGGCCUUCCCUGAUGACCAUCUAUAUGAAAGAUACAGGUUUUCUGCAGAUGGCAUCAGGUAUCUAUGCAGACUACUGGGUCCCAGGAUUAAGCACCGCACUGCACGGAGCCAUGCACUGAGUGUGGAGCAAAUGGUUUGUGUGGCCUUGCGCUUUUUUGCUAGUGGAGCCUUCCUGUACUCAGUGGGGGAUGCAGAACAGCUGAACAAGGCCACAAUUUGCCGCACAAUAAGGAGUGUGUGUGGCUAUCAAAGCAUUAGCAGAUGUCUUCAUCUCCUUCCCUGGCCACAGAAGAUUCUGUGACAUCAAAGAGGAGUUCUAUAGGAUUGCAGGUUUCCCCAAUGUCAUUGGUGCAGUGGACUGCACACACAUAAGGAUAAAAGCCCCCUCAGGUGCCCAUGAGGCCGAUUUUGUGAAUAGGAAAUCCUUUCACAGCAUUAAUGUUCAGAUGGUCUGCAAUGCUGACUGUGUGAUCAGCAAUGUUGUGGCAAAAUGGCCUGGCUCAGUCCAUGACUCCAGAAUCUUUCGGGCCUCUGAAAUCUAUCACAAGGUGAAUUCUCUGGUGUGUUGCAGGGAGACAGGGGGUAUGGCUGCCAGCCUUUUCUCCUGACACCUUUCACAGACCCCCAGGAAGCACAGCAGGCCUACAACCAUGCCCAUGCCAGGACCAGGGCCAGAGUUGAAAUGACCUUUGGCCUCCUGAAGGCACGCUUUCACUGCCUUCACAAAUUAAGGGUCAGCCCUGUUAGGGCAUGUGAUAUUACUGUGGCUUGUGCUGUCCUCCACAAUGUGGCCUGCCUGAGGAAGGAGAGGGCCCCCAGAGUGCCACCAGCCAUGGACUGGGACAAUCCGGCAAUCUUCCCUGAUGACGACAGUGGUCGGCUGCUGAGGGACCAAUAUGUGUUGAAUUAUUUUAGUUAAUAUGUGUGCUUUCAAUUUUGGUUAAAUAUGUCCUGCGGUGGCAGAGG